RNAcentral lists this ribosomal RNA (205 nucleotides) under uncultured bacterium. RNAcentral describes it as "partial 16S ribosomal RNA". It matches the Rfam family "Bacterial small subunit ribosomal RNA", at positions 570 to 774 of the family's 1533-position model. The record is from RNAcentral.
CGUAGGCGGUUUUUUAAGUCAGAGGUGAAAGCCUGGAGCUCGACUCCAGAACUGCCUUUGAAACUGGAAAACUUGAAUCUUGGAGAGGUCAGUGGAAUUCCGAGUGUAGAGGUGAAAUUCGUAGAUAUUCGGAAGAACACCAGUGGCGAAGGCGACUGACUGGACAAGUAUUGACGCUGAGGUGCGAAAGCGUGGGGAGCAAACA